CUGCUUCCUUGGUUACCAGAUCUGGGCCUGGAUCAAACCACUUCAAUUCACUGAGCCUCUGUGAAGAGAAAAUAGAAAUUCUGCUUGUCUGCAUCUCUUCGGUGGGAGAAGGAUAAAACGAUUAUUGAGACGUGCUCUGUAAACGUUGCCCGUUACUAUCCACAUGUCUAAAUGAUGAGGCGAGAAAGGAAAAAGCCUCUGGUAUGUCAGAACCAUGCUGUCUUCCAUGGGACUUCCUUUGUGAAGAGCAUCCAUUUAAAAGACUUUUAUGAAUACAUGGUUUCAAUCAAGUCCCCAAAGAACACAUUUGUCUUCUGAGCUGCUGGCAGUUUUGAGCUGAAGUUGUAGAAACUCACAGAAACAUAUGUUAGAGUGGGAAGUUGCAUAUCAACUCAUCCAGUCUUUUCCAAAGUAUGUCAAUAAAUAUUACCUGAAAGAAAAGAAGAGGGAGAGUCUGUAGUCAAGUAAGUUUGUAUAAUGGAAGGUAAAACAAAAUGGGACAGACACCUUGAAUAUACUCAUAUGUGUUUCAAAG
This 535-nucleotide long non-coding RNA is filed under the name Pongo abelii (Sumatran orangutan). Its description in RNAcentral is "lncRNA (ENSPPYG00000033230.1)". The record is from RNAcentral. Lineage: Eukaryota; Metazoa; Chordata; Mammalia; Primates; Hominidae.